This is a non-coding RNA of Bacillus thuringiensis serovar israelensis ATCC 35646, 213 nucleotides long. NCBI's taxonomy places the organism in Bacteria, Bacillati, Bacillota, Bacilli, Caryophanales, Bacillaceae. The record is from Rfam.
AAUGAUAAAUAAAUAGAUUACUAUUAAAACUCAGGGGGAAAUGAAAAUGGGAACAAUCGUAUGCCAAGUAUGUGAAGGAACAAUUGGACAUUUUGAAGAUGAAAAAUCAACAGUACUAUACGGGAAAUGUGGAUCUCAUUGCGAAUGUGACCAUAAAGAACAUACAAAAGCUUAAUAAUAAGAAAAAGCGCCUACAUGUGUAGGCGCUUUUUU